AUCUUCUGGCCCUGGAUCCGUUUCAUCGCUGAUGGUGGUAUCGACGAACGCAUUGUCUAAAUUCAGUGCUUCGAAGAUAGGAUUGCUGUCGCUAUCGACAAUACCCGAUACGCUGACGCGGAACACUUCAUCGCCUUCCGCAUACACAUCGUCCACCGUAUCGAUGGUAAACGUAGCCGUCACACCAUCCGCACCAAUCACUGCUUGAGUGGUUUCAGUGAUGUCAUCACCCGAUGCAGUGGUAUAGCUGUAAGCGAGCGUAACGAUACUACCGACUGGCGCCGGAUCGCUCAGUGUCACGGUGUAGUCUGUGGUGGUGUCGCCUUCUACGACAUUCGCUGGACCAGUCAUGGU
RNAcentral lists this ribosomal RNA (354 nucleotides) under Vibrio parahaemolyticus IDH02640. RNAcentral's name for it is "partial 16S ribosomal RNA". RNAcentral also lists the same sequence under 1 other name. The record is from RNAcentral. Lineage: Bacteria; Pseudomonadati; Pseudomonadota; Gammaproteobacteria; Vibrionales; Vibrionaceae.